CCCUUUUGCCUUUAAUGCUGAUCCUAAGCUAUACAGGCUCAGACAAGCCAUACACAGCCCUUCAGUAAAUUAAUUGUGAUCUUCCACAUGCAGCACUCUCAACAUCCCAUCUGCUAAUUCAACUCCCAGCAACUAUAUUCAAGGUUUUCUACUGAAAAAAAAGCUCCUUGAGACAACAGCAUGGAACCAGCUUCAUGUUUCCAUUGAAGACAAAACUACACUAGCUCAUACAGCAGAGGAUUAUAAAGUCUAUCAGAGAUACUGUGCAUCAGAGUUUCCAGAGUGGUGUAUUAUCCUUGUUCCUCUUCAAAACUAACAUCCACCUAAGCAACUCUGCAUCUUGGCUAAGGGCCGACCAUGUUCUCAGCCCAAGGCAGGGAAAAGAAAGGCUCAGGACUGCUCCCAAGAAACUGCCAUCACAGAGGAGGCAUUGACAGCCUCAUGAAACCCAUGGGAAGGCGAGGUCUUCAGCUAUCACAGAUCUACAGCUCUGAUUCAUUACUCGACAGCAUCCUCACUGGAAGAAAGAUGUGGACUUGGAAAAAGAGAGUCUUGAGGGUGAUUGAAAAAAAUAAAAGGUGACAUUAAUCUGGCUCUGCACAGUGCUAAGAGAGCCUUCUCUGACACCCUGCCAGGUAUGUUCAAUGCGAGGGUAGGACUGGAGAGUCAGUUGUGAGAACAGUAUUUUAAUACUCAAAUGCCCUGAACCAGCCAUAGCCCCCAGUGACCUUUCCCCAUGACGACUUCUGGGCCUGGCCGUUAAAAAAAAGAAAUGUGCUGCAUUCAGAGAUGUUUGUGUAGGGGUACAAAGAUGGGAACAACGUCUUCUGCAGAACCAGUGGAUGUCAGCUCAGGGGUGUGGAAACUGGGAGCAGCACAUCUGGUUUCAGAGAUGUUCAUUGUGUUCCAUCAAUAGUGAUUUUCAGGAUUUCUGAUGCAUUUUUGCUUUGGCUUCAUCUUGACCCUUUCCCAUGAAUUCUCUUGCUUUUUUCUACUCUUCUUCAGCAUAACAGAAAUAAGCAUUGUGUUUGGUUUUCGAAUGUAAUGAAUCGUUCGAACUCGCCAACAACAAAACCUUAUUCCUUGGGAAAAAAAUCAUUAGAAAUAAAAAAUGAAACAUUUUUAAUGAUCAAAAGCACUCAGCAUCUCUGACUGAUGUAAUUUGGAGCCUUCCCACAGACACUGAUUUCAUUUAUAGCUGGACUAAGGGCAGGAAGACAUGCAUAGGGGUUAAAUCACCUUUUUUUUUUUUCACAUCUGUGACUUGUUGAAAAGUGAUAUAGAACAUGGGAGACAGAGAGAAGGACUAAAUAAUUACUUGAAUAGAUAAAUUAAUGGUGAUAUGUUUAAAUAGAUAGGAUGGGUUAUCAAGAACUUCAUAACGGCUUGCUGGAGGUAUUUAAGACUCUCAGUCCAUUUAUAAAUAUCAUUUUCUAUUUGACAACAGGAACAAUAUAUCAUCUCUUAUCAGAAGACGGUACAUGAGUAGGACCAGGAGGGUCUACAUUUAUGUUUUAUUGACAGUACCUCACUAAACAUAGCACCUUGAUAUGUAUGAAACAAAAAUUUCUUCAUUUUAAUUUUACUGCUGGAUAGAGGGAAGGCUGCCCUAACAUCAGUAAAACUGUGAAAUAUCUUUUUACGUACAGCUAUCUAAUACUAAUAACACUCACUGAGUAUCAAGGUAAAAAUGUGUUUGCUCUUCUGACUCCAUUUUUAAAGAAGGUACUUCACAGUAAGAAAUUAUUUUCAUCCAUUUGCACGAUUUUGACAAUCUGGUUCCCUGUCUCUCUCCCAAAUUGUUCUACUGUGAUCCAUGGGAUAGAAACACAGUGUCUCUCUAUGUAUCCAUGCAUUUUCUUCUUCCAGCACAUAUUCCAAAGUGAUCUUGUUUCAUAAGUAAAUAACCUCUAAAACAUCUAUUAUUAUUCUUGCUAUUCUGUGUUUGCUAUCUGACAUUACUUCAUAACCCACUGAGUUUAUUAGGGGAUUUUUAAAAGGCGUUUCUGGAAAGGCUGGUCAGAUGUAAUUCCACUGGACUGAAAGAAAUACUUUUUGACUUUGUGCUGUUCUGUGUUAAAGCCAAAUUCAUGUCUGGAUAGAUGUUGUUUCUUAUUUUUGGCAGAUAAGACACUGAUAAAACAAUACUACUGUCUCUGCAUUCCUCAUACUUAGGGAUCAGUGGUUUAGCAAGGCCUUACUAACAUGCUGUUAUUUGUCUCUAAGAAGCACACCGUAGAUGACAGAACCAAUGUGAGAAUUUAGUGUUGUGGAUCCUAAGCUCUUUUUCAUUACAAAUACGAAUUGGUGAUUAUUCUGAAAUCUUUGCACUGCGACUGUAUUUACCUUCGCAUUUUAGAUUUUAUUUUCCUUGUAUCUACAUAUUUUCUUUGUAUUCAUCCUUUACACCAAGGGUGCAUUUGCUUUUAUUUCCAUCUAAAUGACGGUUUCCCUUGUAUGAAGUGGUUUUGAGCUCUUCUGUAGAUACAAAGUGAAACUUCUUAUUUAUCUAGAUGGUAGUAAAUAAUGCCUUCUUAGGGAAACUGGAUUCAUGGACCGAAUCUACUGAAUAAUUAUUAUUGCCAAUAAACUAAUCUUUAUCUUA
This is a long non-coding RNA of Strigops habroptila (Kakapo), 2605 nucleotides long. RefSeq lists it as uncharacterized. The record is from RefSeq and is a predicted model, not a curated record. The transcript is spliced from 2 exons. NCBI's taxonomy places the organism in Eukaryota, Metazoa, Chordata, Aves, Psittaciformes, Psittacidae.